RNAcentral lists this small RNA (127 nucleotides) under Paenibacillus tuaregi. RNAcentral describes it as "ydaO/yuaA leader". It matches the Rfam family "c-di-AMP riboswitch aptamer (ydaO/yuaA leader)", at positions 11 to 130 of the family's 134-position model. Rfam says of the family: This family represents a conserved RNA structure found upstream of the ydaO and yuaA genes in Bacillus subtilis and related genes in other bacteria. The ydaO/yuaA element is thought to act as a genetic "off" switch for the ydaO and yuaA genes in its native state. The record is from RNAcentral. Lineage: Bacteria; Bacillati; Bacillota; Bacilli; Caryophanales; Paenibacillaceae.
ACUAAGCCGAAGCUUGUACACCAAGCACGGGGGACCCAUUUACCGGGGUGAAGCCACUAUUCUUUGGCAGGGUGAUUGCCUCUUUGACCCUAAUCCGACAGCUAACCUCGCAGGCUAUGAAAAGGAG